AAAAAAACAAAAGGGGAGGGGUUUCUCUGCUAGGGUUUCGACCCUAGCACCUUCAUGCCGCCACCGUCGUGCCCACUGUGAGGCCACCGCGAAUGGCGCUCGAAACCAGGAAUAACGUGCAUGGUGGGUGCGGGGCGACGUGCGCAACGUGUGGGGGUGACGUUGGGGCGGUUACUGCGGCGCCAAUUUGCUGCCACUGCUUAGGGUUUCUGCUGUAUUGUGUUUUUGCUGAGGGCCACACUGUAGUUAGGCUAGGCUUUAGGUUAGUGGGCUAGGUAUUGGAUCAUUUGGGUUUAGGUUUUUUGUAAAAAUGGACUGUGUUUUUUUUUGUUUUUGUUUUUUAUUUUUAUGUUUAUUUAUUUGA
Long non-coding RNA from Gossypium raimondii (Peruvian cotton), 364 nucleotides. RefSeq lists it as uncharacterized. Lineage: Eukaryota; Viridiplantae; Streptophyta; Magnoliopsida; Malvales; Malvaceae. The record is from RefSeq and is a predicted model, not a curated record. The transcript is spliced from 2 exons.